RNAcentral lists this ribosomal RNA (507 nucleotides) under uncultured bacterium. RNAcentral's name for it is "SSU rRNA". It matches the Rfam family "Bacterial small subunit ribosomal RNA", at positions 26 to 523 of the family's 1533-position model. The record is from RNAcentral.
AGGACGAACGCUGGCGGCGCGCUUAACACAUGCAAGUCGAGCGAGAACCAGGCCUUCGGGCCUGGGGAAAGCGGCGAACGGGUGAGUAACACGUGGGUAACCCACCCUUGGUACCGGGAUAGCCCGAGGAAACUCGGAUUAAUACCGGAUGGCCCAACAGCUUCUCGGAGCGGUUGGAAAAGGUAGCUUCGGCCUCCGACCAAGGACGGGCCCGCGGUGGAUUAGCUUGUUGGUGAGGUAACGGCUCACCAAGGCUUCGAUCCAUAGCUGGUCUGAGAGGACGAUCAGCCACACUGGGACUGAGACACGGCCCAGACUCCUACGGGAGGCAGCAGUGGGGAAUCUUGCGCAAUGGGCGAAAGCCUGACGCAGCGACGCCGCGUGGGGGAAGAAGGCUUUCGGGUGUAAACCCCUUUCAGGAAGGACGAAGCCACUCGGGUUAAUAGCCCAGAGGGUGACGGUACUUCCAGAGAAGCCCGGCUAACUACGCGCCAGCAGCCGCGGUAA